GCGCCAGACUCCUACGGGAGGCAGCAGUGGGGAAUAUUGGGCAAUGGGCGCAAGCCUGACCCAGCAACGCCGCGUGAAGGAAGAAGGCUUUCGGGUUGUAAACUUCUUUUAUUGAGGACGAAACAAAUGACGGUACUCAAUGAAUAAGCCACGGCUAACUACGUGCCAGCAGCCGCGGUAAUACGUAGGUGGCAAGCGUUAUCCGGAUUUACUGGGUGUAAAGGGCGUGUAGCCGGGUUGACAAGUCAGAUGUGAAAUCCUGCGGCUUAACCGCAGAACUGCAUUUGAAACUGUUGAUCUUGAGUACUGGAGAGGCAGACGGAAUUCCUAGUGUAGCGGUGAAAUGCGUAGAUAUUAGGAGGAACACCAGUGGCGAAGGCGGUCUGCUGGACAGCAACUGACGGUGAGGCGCGAAAGCGUGGGGAGCAAACAGGAUUAGAUACCCCCGUACG
This 452-nucleotide ribosomal RNA is filed under the name uncultured bacterium. RNAcentral's name for it is "partial 16S ribosomal RNA". It matches the Rfam family "Bacterial small subunit ribosomal RNA", at positions 328 to 793 of the family's 1533-position model. The record is from RNAcentral.